RNAcentral lists this transfer RNA (71 nucleotides) under Storeatula sp. CCMP1868. RNAcentral describes it as "tRNA-Asp". It matches the Rfam family "tRNA". From Rfam's summary of the family: Transfer RNA (tRNA) molecules are approximately 80 nucleotides in length. Their secondary structure includes four short double-helical elements and three loops (D, anti-codon, and T loops). The record is from RNAcentral. Lineage: Eukaryota; Cryptophyceae; Pyrenomonadales; Pyrenomonadaceae.
GAGAAUAUAGUUUAAUGGUAAAACCUUAACCUGUCUCGUUAAAGUUACGAGUUCAAGUCUCGUUGUUCUCG